UACGGAGGGUGCAAGCGUUAUCCGGAUUCACUGGGUUUAAAGGGUGCGUAGGUGGGCAGGUAAGUCAGUGGUGAAAUCUCCGGGCUUAACUCGGAAACUGCCGUUGACACUAUCUGUCUUGAAUAUCGUGGAGGUUAGCGGAAUAUGUCAUGUAGCGGUGAAAUGCUUAGAUAUGACAUAGAACACCCAUUGCGAAGGCAGCUAACUACACGAUCAUUGACACUGAGGCACGAAAGCGUGGGGAGCAAACAGG
Molecule: ribosomal RNA, 253 nt
Filed under: uncultured bacterium
Lineage: Bacteria
Description: partial 16S ribosomal RNA
Rfam family: Bacterial small subunit ribosomal RNA
Source: RNAcentral